This 354-nucleotide ribosomal RNA is filed under the name Hastula lanceata. RNAcentral's name for it is "partial 12S ribosomal RNA". Lineage: Eukaryota; Metazoa; Mollusca; Gastropoda; Neogastropoda; Terebridae. The record is from RNAcentral.
AUAUAACUACCAGGGUACUAUGAAUUAUUAAAUUUAAAACUCAAAGGACUUGGCGGUGUCUUAGACCACUUAGGGGAACCUGUCUCGUAAUCGACAGUCCACGUUGAACCUGACCUUUUUUUGUUUUCAGUUUGUAUACCGUUGUCGUCAGGUAACUUUUUAGAAAAAUAAAGUUAGCAAUAUAAAUUGAUUAUUUAGUACGUCAAAUCAAGGUGCAGCUAAUAGAAAGGGGAGGAUGGGUUACAAUUAUUUAUUUAUAAUUACGGAAGUAAAGCUAUAGAAAUAUAUUACAUAAGGAGGACUUAAAAGUAAAUUAAAAUAGAUAUAUAAUUUGAAUAAGGCUCUGAGACGUGU